This 1263-nucleotide ribosomal RNA is filed under the name Pleurotus sp. LAU09-LAU10. RNAcentral describes it as "eukaryotic LSU rRNA". The stretch from base 539 to 1263 matches the Rfam family "Eukaryotic large subunit ribosomal RNA", at positions 1 to 731 of the family's 3401-position model. Lineage: Eukaryota; Fungi; Basidiomycota; Agaricomycetes; Agaricales; Pleurotaceae. The record is from RNAcentral.
UCUUUCAACCACCUGUGAACUUUUGAUAGAUCUGUGAAGUCGUCCUUCAAGUCGUCAGACUUGGUUUGCUGGGAUUUAAACGUCUCGGUGUGACUACGCAGUCUAUUUACUUACACACCCCAAAUGUAUGUCUACGAAUGUCAUUUAAUGGGCCUUGUGCCUAUAAACCAUAAUACAACUUUCAACAACGGAUCUCUUGGCUCUCCCAUCGAUGAAGAACGCAGCGAAAUGCGAUAAGUAAUGUGAAUUGCAGAAUUCAGUGAAUCAUCGAAUCUUUGAACGCACCUUGCGCCCCUUGGUAUUCCGAGGGGCAUGCCUGUUUGAGUGUCAUUAAAUUCUCAAACUCACAUUGGUUUUUUCUAUUUGUGAUGUUUGGAUUGUUGGGGGUUGCUGGCUGUAACACGUCGGCUCCUCUUAAAUGCAUUAGCAGGACUUCUCAUUGCCUCUGCGCAUGAUGUGAUAAUUCUCACUCAUCAAUAGCACGCAUGAAUAGAGUCCAGCUCUCUAAUCGUCCGCAAGGACAAUUUUUCUGACAAUUUGACCUCAAAUCAGGUAGGACUACCCGCUGAACUUAAGCUUAUCAAUAAGCGGAGGAAAAGAAACUAACAAGGAUUCCCCUAGUAACUGCGAGUGAAGCGGGAAAAGCUCAAAUUUAAAAUCUGGUGGUCUUUGGCCAUCCGAGUUGUAAUCUAGAGAAGUGUUAUCCGCGCUGGACCGUGUACAAGUCCCCUGGAAUGGGGCGUCAUAGAGGGUGAGAAUCCCGUCUUUGACACGGACUACCAGGGCUUUGUGAUGCACUCUCAAAGAGUCGAGUUGUUUGGGAAUGCAGCUCAAAAUGGGUGGUAAAUUCCAUCUAAAGCUAAAUAUUGGCGAGAGACCGAUAGCGAACAAGUACCGUGAGGGAAAGAUGAAAAGAACUUUGGAAUGAGAGUUAAACAGUACGUGAAAUUGUUGAAAGGGAAACGCUUGAAGUCAGUCGCGUCUGCCAGGGAUCAACCUUACUUUUGUGAGGCGUACUUCCUGGUUGAUGGGUCAGCAUCAGUUUUGGUCGCUGGAUAAAGGUCAGAGAAAUGUGGCACCUUCGGGUGUGUUAUAGUCUUUGAUCAGAUACAGUGGCUGGGACUGAGGAACUCAGCGCCGCAAGGCUGUCUUAGGAUGCUGGCAAAAUGGCUUUAAUCGACCCGUCUUGAAACACGGACCAAGGAGUCUAACAUGCCUGCGAGUGUUUGGGUGGAAAACCCGAGCGCGUAAUGAAAGUGAAAG